UACGGAGGGAGCUAGCGUUGUUCGGAAUUACUGGGCGUAAAGCGCACGUAGGCGGAUUUGUAAGUCAGGGGUGAAAUCCCGGGGCUCAACCUCGGAACUGCCUUUGAUACUGCAAAUCUCGAGUCCGGAAGAGGUGAGUGGAAUUCCUAGUGUAGAGGUGAAAUUCGUAGAUAUUAGGAAGAACACCAGUGGCGAAGGCGGCUCACUGGUCCGGUACUGACGCUGAGGUGCGAAAGCGUGGGGAGCAAACAGG
Molecule: ribosomal RNA, 253 nt
Filed under: uncultured bacterium
Lineage: Bacteria
Description: partial 16S ribosomal RNA
Rfam family: Bacterial small subunit ribosomal RNA
Source: RNAcentral